RNAcentral lists this ribosomal RNA (373 nucleotides) under uncultured bacterium. Its description in RNAcentral is "bacterial SSU rRNA". It matches the Rfam family "Bacterial small subunit ribosomal RNA", at positions 28 to 402 of the family's 1533-position model. The record is from RNAcentral.
GACGAACGCUGGCGGCGUGCUUAACACAUGCAAGUCGAACGGUGACGGAGAGCUUGCUCUCCUGAUCAGUGGCGAACGGGUGAGUAACACGUGGGCAACCUGUCCCAGACUUCGGGAUAACGCUUCGAAAGAGGUGCUAAUACCGAAUACGAACGCCGUGGGCAUCCACGGUGUUGGAAAGUUUUUCGGUCUGGGAUGGGCCCGCGGCCUAUCAGCUUGUUGGUGAGGUAAUGGCUCACCAAGGCGACGACGGGUAGCCGGCCUGAGAGGGCGACCGGCCACACUGGGACUGAGACACGGCCCAGACUCCUACGGGAGGCAGCAGUGGGGAAUAUUGCGCAAUGGGCGAAAGCCUGACGCAGCAACGCCGCGU